AGCGGCGAACGGGUGAGUAACACGUGGGUGACCUGCCCUCAGCUCUGGGAUAAGCCUGGGAAACUGGGUCUAAUACUGGAUAUGACCUCAUGACGCAUGUUGUGGGGUGGAAAGCCUUGUGCGGCUGGGGAUGGGCCCGCGGCCUAUCAGCUUGUUGGGGGGGUGAUGGCCUACCAAGGCGACGACGGGUACCCGGCCUGAGAGGGCGACCGGCCACACUGGGACUGAGACCCGGCCCACACUCCUACGGGAGGCAGCGGUGGGUAAUCUUGCGCAAUGGGCGAAAGCCUGACCCACCCACCCCGCGUGAGGGAUGACGGCCUUCGGGUUGCAACCCUCUUUCACCUCCAACGAAGCGUAAGUGACGGUAGGGGAAAAACAAGCACCGGCCAAUUACGUGCCACCGGCCGCGGUAUUACGUAGGGUGCAUGCGUUAUCCAAAAUUAUUGGGAGUAAAGAGCUCGUAGGCGGUCUGUCGCGUCGGUUGAGAAAACUCGGGGCUCCAACUCCGAGCUUGCAGUCGAUACGGGCAGGCUAGAGUUCGGCAGGGGAGACUGGAAAUUCCUGGUGUAGCGGUGAAAUGCGCAGAUAUCAGGAGGAACACCGGUGGCGAAGGCGGGUCUCUGGGCCGAUACUGACGCUGAGGAGCGAAAGCGUGGGGAGCGAACAGGAUUAGAUACCCUGGUAGUCCACGCCGUAAACGUUGGGCGCUAGGUGUGGGAUCCCUUCCACGGGUUCCGUGCCGCAGCUAACGCAUUAAGCGCCCCGCCUGGGGAGUACGGCCGCAAGGCUAAAACUCAAAGGAAUUGACGGGGGCCCGCACAAGCGGCGGAGCAUGUGGAUUAAUUCGAUGCAACGCGAAGAACCUUACCUGGGUUUGACAUACACUGGAAAGCCGUGGAGACAUGGCCUCCGCAAGGCCGGUGUACAGGUGGUGCAUGGCUGUCGUCAGCUCGUGUCGUGAGAUGUUGGGUUAAGUCCCGCAACGAGCGCAACCCUUGUCUCAUGUUGCCAGCGGGUUAUGCCGGGGACU
Molecule: ribosomal RNA, 1033 nt
Filed under: uncultured bacterium
Lineage: Bacteria
Description: bacterial SSU rRNA
Rfam family: Bacterial small subunit ribosomal RNA
Source: RNAcentral